AGUGAACGCUGGCGGUAGGCGUAACACAUGCAAGUCGAACGGCAGCACAGUAAGAGCUUGCUCUUACGGGUGGCGAGUGGCGGACGGGUGAGGAAUACAUCGGAAUCUACUUUUUCGUGGGGGAUAACGUAGGGAAACUUACGCUAAUACCGCAUACGACCUACGGGUGAAAGCAGGGGAUCUUCGGACCUUGCGCGAUUGAAUGAGCCGAUGUCGGAUUAGCUAGUUGGCGGGGUAAAGGCCCACCAAGGCGACGAUCCGUAGCUGGUCUGAGAGGAUGAUCAGCCACACUGGAACUGAGACACGGUCCAGACUCCUACGGGAGGCAGCAGUGGGGAAUAUUGGACAAUGGGCGCAAGCCUGAUCCAGCCAUACCGCGUGGGUGAAGAAGGCCUUCGGGUUGUAAAGCCCUUUUGUUGGGAAAGAAAAGCAGCAGGUUAAUACCCCGCUGUUCUGACGGUACCCAAAGAAUAAGCACCGGCUAACUUCGUG
Molecule: ribosomal RNA, 492 nt
Filed under: uncultured bacterium
Lineage: Bacteria
Description: partial 16S ribosomal RNA
Rfam family: Bacterial small subunit ribosomal RNA
Source: RNAcentral